This 1142-nucleotide ribosomal RNA is filed under the name Escherichia coli. RNAcentral's name for it is "partial 23S ribosomal RNA". It matches the Rfam family "Bacterial large subunit ribosomal RNA", at positions 418 to 1561 of the family's 2925-position model. Lineage: Bacteria; Pseudomonadati; Pseudomonadota; Gammaproteobacteria; Enterobacterales; Enterobacteriaceae. The record is from RNAcentral.
CGGGACACGUGGUAUCCUGUCUGAAUAUGGGGGGACCAUCCUCCAAGGCUAAAUACUCCUGACUGACCGAUAGUGAACCAGUACCGUGAGGGAAAGGCGAAAAGAACCCCGGCGAGGGGAGUGAAAAAGAACCUGAAACCGUGUACGUACAAGCAGUGGGAGCACAGAGCAAUCUGUGUGACUGCGUACCUUUUGUAUAAUGGGUCAGCGACUUAUAUUCUGUAGCAAGGUUAACCGAAUAGGGGAGCCGAAGGGAAACCGAGUCUUAACUGGGCGUUAAGUUGCAGGGUAUAGACCCGAAACCCGGUGAUCUAGCCAUGGGCAGGUUGAAGGUUGGGUAACACUAACUGGAGGACCGAACCGACUAAUGUUGAAAAAUUAGCGGAUGACUUGUGGCUGGGGGUGAAAGGCCAAUCAAACCGGGAGAUAGCUGGUUCUCCCCGAAAGCUAUUUAGGUAGCGCCUCGUGAAUUCAUCUCCGGGGGUAGAGCACUGUUUCGGCAAGGGGGUCAUCCCGACUUACCAACCCGAUGCAAACUGCGAAUACCGGAGAAUGUUAUCACGGGAGACACACGGCGGGUGCUAACGUCCGUCGUGAAGAGGGAAACAACCCAGACCGCCAGCUAAGGUCCCAAAGUCAUGGUUAAGUGGGAAACGAUGUGGGAAGGCCCAGACAGCCAGGAUGUUGGCUUAGAAGCAGCCAUCAUUUAAAGAAAGCGUAAUAGCUCACUGGUCGAGUCGGCCUGCGCGGAAGAUGUAACGGGGCUAAACCAUGCACCGAAGCUGCGGCAGCGACGCUUAUGCGUUGUUGGGUAGGGGAGCGUUCUGUAAGCCUGCGAAGGUGUGCUGUGAGGCAUGCUGGAGGUAUCAGAAGUGCGAAUGCUGACAUAAGUAACGAUAAAGCGGGUGAAAAGCCCGCUCGCCGGAAGACCAAGGGUUCCUGUCCAACGUUAAUCGGGGCAGGGUGAGUCGACCCCUAAGGCGAGGCCGAAAGGCGUAGUCGAUGGGAAACAGGUUAAUAUUCCUGUACUUGGUGUUACUGCGAAGGGGGGACGGAGAAGGCUAUGUUGGCCGGGCGACGGUUGUCCCGGUUUAAGCGUGUAGGCUGGUUUUCCAGGCAAAUCCGGAAAAUCAAGGCUGAGG